Molecule: long non-coding RNA, 2973 nt
Organism: Brachypodium distachyon (stiff brome)
Lineage: Eukaryota; Viridiplantae; Streptophyta; Magnoliopsida; Poales; Poaceae
Exons: 6
Source: RefSeq, a predicted model, not a curated record
AUCUCGAUCCCUCCCGUCUCUUCCCUCCCCCGAUCACCCUCUCUCUCUUGCUUUCUCCCUGCCAGCGCUCGUCUCUCUCUGUCUCUCUUUGCCUUCCAUGCUCCCAGCUCCCCCUUCAGUCAGUGUAGGGUUUGCUCACCGCCACCGCCCCCGUCUCGCUGAGCCGUCGACCCCCUCUGCCCCUUUCCCACAGCGGCGGCGGCCCUCUGCCGCUCUCCCCUUCCUCACUUCGCGGCCGUCUGCUCUCUCCCUCCUCCACACCUAGCCGCCGCCCCUAUGUCCCUCUCCCCAUCCGCCCGCCUUCGCUGCCCCGACUGAGAGGGCCACCACGGCCUCCCGUCCUUCAUUCCCUCACCACCCCUGUGUCACGUCUGCAGAAGAGCGCGAAGCCCGUCGGCGUGACCCACUACCAUGAUGUGUCAGAGAUAAUCUUGAUCUCAUCAGCUAAUUAACCACCAUGUUCGGCCGCAGGAACAUAUGCAUGGUACUUGAACUGGUAGAUGACCAACAGCCCCAUGGCAUAUGGUGAAACUGCUAUUAGAAAGGCAAAAAAUGGAUACUGGAAGUGCAUAGAUGUUCUAAGAAUACCAACAAGUACAUGUACUGUUGGUGCAAAAAAUUAGUCAGAAUUUUAUGAAGGCGAGUUGCCAUUUGGUAAGAGAAUCAGGUGGGGGUGAUGCAUGAAUAUCAGGUAGAACAUAAUGAUGAAGGGGAUGUACCACAGGGUUGCAAGUCUUUGUGUACAAUAUUGUUGCAGGGAAACAAAAACUAAACUCCUAAGUAUGCAUAUAUUCUGUAUUGUACUCCAACACAUCCUUGGUUUGCUCCCCUGGUCUAUCAUUUUGCUCAUAUGUGCCUUCUUGUUCUUAUGCUUCAUGAUUAUGCCAUUGGUUAAAGUACAACAUGGUGGCGACUUUUUAUUCCUGGAAUUUUUCCAUGGUGUUGUCUUUUGGGCGAAUCAUUUUGAUGUUACCAAGCUUAAAAGUUGCUACAAGUCCAAAUAGAAUUUCUUGGCUCCAUGUUUUGAGAGUAUAGUUGCUUCCGAUAAGAAAGUUUACCUUUUAAGUACUAUACUCAUCAGUGAUAGUAUUCCAGGUUAUAACAGUCUUCUGAGAAGCGGGUGUCCGGGUUAUUCUGGUUGUCAAUUUCUGGACAAAUUAGAGUUUCAGAGGAUAUUUUUUCCUGCUAUAUAUUGUCAGCUAUUUCCCCUUUUCGUUGAAGCAGCAGAAGUAAUAUUGUCCAUUUUACAAAACAAAAAAAGAAUGUUGGUUUACAACCAUAUUCUCUUUCUUGCUAUCUCAAUAUUAACAAUGUUGACACUAAGGUCUCUGAUUUGUGACGGCGGAUCUGCAGUGGUUUUUUUUCUCCGUUUGUUCUCUAUCGGUGCCGGUGAGCCUUAGCCGAGUUCGGCCUCUCUAUUCUGUGGUGGUGUGUUCUCCUCAGUGCCGUGGGAUUUUACUUUGUCUUGAUUGUGCUUGCCUCUCUAUGCAGGUCCUGUGUGUGGCCGUUCGGUCAGGUGAUUAGCUUCGUUGUUCCUCAGCUAUGCUUGCCUUUUCAGGAAGUUAGGGCUCCAAAGUAUGCAUAAAUGUGAGCAAUCCAGGCAUGGUGGCCUUUCGGAACAAGUAUGCCGUAGUCUGUUAUAAGGUACUAGGAUCACCAGGGGACGCUUCACUGUUCAAUGGAUCGUGGACAGAGGUCGCCGUCUCACCGCAGCUGAUAUGCAGGUUGCAUACGUUGCUUAUUUGGCGUCUUUGGACCCGCAUCUAGCAAUGAUAAAUGCAACCUUGUUUUUGUGCCUGGAGGAGUAUAUUAUGCAGUACUGAUUUUGUGUGCCAUAUGUAGAACAAGCUUUUUAGAUGCAAGAUGCAGAUAAGGGAGGUGUCAAACGAGCAUGUCUGUUGGUUUUUUUUUCGUGCGAUACCUGUUCCUCGAAAGCAAGUGAGGAUGACGUCGAUUAUAGGUGUACGAAUCCUAACUGUUCUAGCAAGUCAGCCAGCCCAAGGUACAAACUCAUGGUUGCAGGGGCAGACAAGAAUGCAUCGAUUGAGCUUGUGUUUUUCGGUGAUACAGCCAGAGAUCUCAUUGGAAAGCAAGAAGAUGUCUUGCUCGCUGAAUCAUAUGCUUCUCAGCUAGAUGUCCCUAGUGAGAUUUCAGCGCUCGUGGGCAGAAACUAUGUCGUUGAUGUGACAUUAUCUCGCUACUGUCUCCGCCAGGAGAAUAUAUCUUUUCAGGUCAUGAGUUGUGUUAUCCUGAAGAAGGUGUUGUCUUCCAUGAAUUCACGGGAACAGAUGCACCGGCAAUUUCGUCUUCCCUGAAUGAGUCAUCGUCUUCAGUACUGAUGUUUUUUUUCAUGCGAAUUUAUUGGACAAAGUUGUUCUUUGUGUUUUGGUCCUCCAACUUCACCUACGGAUCUUAUGGAUCUCCUGUGCAGGUUUGUAGGAUACUCCCACUCAUAGCCAGCCGCAACUCCGCAAACUCUACAUGUUGCUUCUACUCCUCGCUCCAGUGUUCUGGUAUAGAGUUAUGUUCUCUGAGUAUUUGUUUUAUCAUGUGAUGCACAUGAUUUAUUCUUGCCGAGGAAGAGGUUCAUAUCAAAGAUGCGAGUACCUCGCUGACUACUGCUCAGCAAGAAAAACGCAAAAAGUUUAAGAGGUCACGGACAGGGUCAGCAAAGUUGCGGAAGAGGCAAAGGAUGCGGAAAAAGAAUGAUGUUGCAUGACUCUCGCCGCCGUCAGCGUUAUGUAGAAAGGAUAAGUUCUCCCAGGCUGGUCAAUGCGUGUUUCUACUACGUGUGUGUGGUUUCUGUGCUGUAGUGGCAAUGCUUUUGUGCUUGUGUAAGAUAGACAGUGUUUUGUUGCUGGACUAAUGUGUGUCUGGGCUACUCGUUGUGUGGUCACACUUUGUGUAUGUGGUUCGUUGACUGUAGUAUGGAAGCUUUUGUGCGUACGUAAGAUAGAUGAUAUUUCGUCAUUA